GAUUACGAUUCAUUCGAUUGGCAGGUCCAAUCGAAGGAAGUCGCUCCAGCAGCUUUAGUACUUAGUACUUAGUUAAGGCCCCAGCCCUUCGCCCGGUUCUUCUCCGGCUCCACCAGCAGCCUUUAUCAGCUGCUAUGGUUCCCUUCCCGCAAUGCGAAUCUAUAUCUCUUUGCGGCUACAGCCUAUUCUAAUAGGACCCAUAUUCAAUCUCUUAAGUGACUUCUGAACACUAGCUAGCUCUGGACCUACCUAUAUUAGCCAUGAGCGAUCACCAAGCGGAGUUGAAAGAAAAGAGACUUGACAUGCCAAAACUUCGCUCGCGAGCUCGGAACGAACGGAGCGGAAGGGAU
Molecule: long non-coding RNA, 350 nt
Filed under: Nicotiana benthamiana
Lineage: Eukaryota; Viridiplantae; Streptophyta; Magnoliopsida; Solanales; Solanaceae
Description: long non-coding RNA (NBEN_LNC041040)
Source: RNAcentral